CGGAGUGUGGCGCAGUCUGGUAGCGCACCUCGUUCGGGACGAGGGGGUCGCAGGUUCAAAUCCUGCCACUCCGACCA
Molecule: transfer RNA, 77 nt
Filed under: Hyphomicrobiales bacterium
Lineage: Bacteria; Pseudomonadati; Pseudomonadota; Alphaproteobacteria; Hyphomicrobiales
Also listed under: 7 other names
Description: tRNA-Pro
Rfam family: tRNA
About the family: Transfer RNA (tRNA) molecules are approximately 80 nucleotides in length. Their secondary structure includes four short double-helical elements and three loops (D, anti-codon, and T loops). Further hydrogen bonds mediate the characteristic L-shaped molecular structure. tRNAs have two regions of fundamental functional importance: the anti-codon, which is responsible for specific mRNA codon recognition, and the 3' end, to which the tRNAs corresponding amino acid is attached (by aminoacyl-tRNA synthetases). tRNAs cope with the degeneracy of the genetic code in two manners: having more than one tRNA (with a specific anti-codon) for a particular amino acid; and 'wobble' base-pairing, i.e. permitting non-standard base-pairing at the 3rd anti-codon position.
Source: RNAcentral